This 432-nucleotide unclassified non-coding RNA is filed under the name soil metagenome. RNAcentral describes it as "partial contains 5.8S ribosomal RNA, internal transcribed spacer 2, and large subunit ribosomal RNA". The stretch from base 1 to 120 matches the Rfam family "5.8S ribosomal RNA", at positions 35 to 154 of the family's 154-position model. The record is from RNAcentral.
GAUGAAGAACGUAGCGAAAUGCGAUACGUAAUGUGAAUUGCAGAAUUCAGUGAAUCAUCGAAUCUUUGAACGCAUAUUGCGCUCUCUGGUAUUCCGGAGAGCAUGCUUGUUUGAGUAUCAGUAAACACCUCAACUUCCAUAUCUUUUUUGAAAUGGGAGUUGGACUUGAGUGAUCCCAACGCUUUUCCUCACCGAAAAGUGGCGGGUUACUUGAAGUGCAGGUGCAGCUGGACUUUUCUCUGAGCUAUAAGCAUAUCUAUUUAGUCUGCCUAAAAAACAGAUUAUUACCUUUGCUGCAGCUAACAUAAAGGAGAUUAGUUCUUGGGCUGACUGAUGCAGGAUUCACAAAGACGGCUUCGGCCGACUUUGUAAACUCGAUCUCAAAUCAAGUAAGACUACCCGCUGAACUUAAGCAUAUCAAUAAGCGGAGGA